AUGAACGCUGACAGGAUGCCUAACACAGGCAAGCAUCUUAACUUCGUUUGGUUGCCGACCGGGCGAGUAACGCGUAAAGAACUUGCCUCACAGAUAGGGCCAACAUUUGGAAACGAAUGCUAAUACCUGAUAUUAUGAUUUUAGGGCAUCCUAGGAUUAUGAAAGCUAUAUGCACUGUGAGAGAGCUUUGCGUCCCAUUAGCUAGUUGGAGAGGUAACGGCUCACCAAGGCGAUGAUGGGUAGCCGGCCUGAGAGGGUGAUCGGCCACAAGGGGACUGAGACACGGCCCUUACUCCUACGGGAGGCAGCAGUGGGGAAUAUUGGACAAUGGACCAAGAGUCUGAUCCAGCAAUUCUGUGUGCACGAUGAAGUUUUUCGGAAUGUAAAGUGCUUUCAGUUGGGAAGAAAAAAAUGACGGUACCAACAGAAGAAGUGACGGCUAAAUACGUGCCAGCAGCCGCGGUAAUACGUAUGUCACAAGCGUUAUCCGGAUUUAUUGGGCGUAAAGCGCGUCUAGGUGGUUAUGUAAGUCUGAUGUGAAAAUGCAGGGCUCAACUCUGUAUUGCGUUGGAAACUGUGUAACUAGAGUACUGGAGAGGUAAGCGGAACUACAAGUGUAGAGGUGAAAUUCGUAGAUAUUUGUAGGAAUGCCGAUGGGGAAGCCAGCUUACUGGACAGAUACUGACGCUGAAGCGCGAAAGCGUGGGUAGCAAACAGG
This 718-nucleotide ribosomal RNA is filed under the name uncultured Fusobacterium sp. Its description in RNAcentral is "bacterial SSU rRNA". It matches the Rfam family "Bacterial small subunit ribosomal RNA", at positions 29 to 776 of the family's 1533-position model. Lineage: Bacteria; Fusobacteriati; Fusobacteriota; Fusobacteriia; Fusobacteriales; Fusobacteriaceae. The record is from RNAcentral.